Oncorhynchus kisutch (coho salmon) is the source of this 1545-nucleotide long non-coding RNA. RefSeq lists it as uncharacterized. The transcript has 2 exons. The record is from RefSeq and is a predicted model, not a curated record. NCBI's taxonomy places the organism in Eukaryota, Metazoa, Chordata, Actinopteri, Salmoniformes, Salmonidae.
CUACUCCUCAGUCUGAGAGAGAUUCUGAGAGCAGGUUCGUGUCUCCUUCCUCUGUAUAUAAAAACUGUACUGUUUAACAUAAGUGUUUUUGGAAAACUGGUUCAUAUAUCCUGAAGUCAAUAGCGAAUAUGGCUAUGAAUAUAUUUAAUUUGCCGUUAAUGUAUUGAAGACCUAUUUCAGCAAGUUAACCAAGUUUUUGCUGGCUUAGCUAGCCAUGUUAACGAUGAGCUAACUUAACUAGCACCGUACUACAAUGUCACGCUAGCUAUUGCCAGCAGGUGAUUUGCUAGCAGGUGACUUAUUGGAAUAUUAAGUGAAUGUUUAUUUUCUUACUACCUUUUAAAAGGUUUAUAUAAAAGGGUUGUACUUGUGCUCUGUAUUUAUGGAUUAAUAUCACUUCACAUUGAGGGUAUGUAUCACUCCUAUCUAAAAGAUAUUGCUCCUAUCUAAAAUAUAUCUUGUGGGCUACCUAACCAGUGAACGUUUGUGGCUGUGACCGUCCUGUCAAUGCCUGUCAUCACUGUUUGACAUCUUUUACUGCAGGUAUGCUUUUCUGUAUUUUUGUUAUUGUAUACUAUACAAUCACUUUGUAGAUUGGGUCUGAGAGAGAUAUUCUGAGAGCAGUGAACGUGUGGCUGUGACUGUCCUGUCAAUGCCUGUCAUCACUGUUUGAUAUCUUUUACUUACUAAAAACCUAGUCAACCUGAAGUGCGGGUGUCCGUGUGCCUUUCUUCUGAGGGGCUAUGUAAAGUUGGUUACAUCAGCAAGGGACACACUUUGUAUGUGGACAAUUGGUACCUCGGUCCCACACUCUUCCAGCAUCUGCUCUCCAACAGCACAGGGGCCUGUAGCACAGUCAGGUCAAACAGGAAGGGGAUGCCGGCAUUCGGAUGCAGGAAGAUAAAGAGAGGGGAGGUGGAGUUCAAGGAGAACGGUCAACAGCUGGCAGUAAAGUGGCAUGACAAACGAGACGUCCAUGUCCUCUCCACUGUCCAUACAGCAACCAUGUCGGCCACAGGGAAGGUGGACCAACUGACGGGAGAGAGAAAAAUCAAACCAGACUAACUAACAGAUAAAGUAAUUACCUACCAAAAGUACAGAGAGAACCUUAUGAGGGAGCUGCUGGAGGAGCACCACACCCAUCAGCGCCCAUCCACUGGGGGUCGUCCUGCUGCGGACAAUCCCCUAAGCCUCACUGCACGGCAUUUUUCCUGCAAAGUCCCUCAAACUGCUGCUCAAGGUAGUCGCACACAGGCACUGCAAAGUUUGCCUGUCUGGCACCAGGAGAAGAAAGCAGAGGAAGUUGUCAAUAUACAUGCAUUUAGCUUGUGAUACACCUCUAUGUAUUUCACCAUGCUUUGGGGAGUAUCAUAUGCUCAAGCAAUAUUGAGCACAUCUGCAGCAAUUAGUGACUGACUGACGGACCUGACAGGUGACUUUCCUUCCACGAUACUAGUUGUUGUUCAAUCACUGCAUGAAUAUUAAAUACGGGUUAUGGAUAUUCCGUUUUUUUUCCUCUAGUAAAACUUGUUCAACCAACCACCA